GGCGGUCCAGUGGUAGGACGCAGUGCUUUCACUGCUAUGGCUUGGGUUCAAUUCCCAAGCCA
This 62-nucleotide transfer RNA is filed under the name Ovis aries (sheep). It matches the Rfam family "tRNA". From Rfam's summary of the family: Transfer RNA (tRNA) molecules are approximately 80 nucleotides in length. The record is from Rfam by way of RNAcentral. Lineage: Eukaryota; Metazoa; Chordata; Mammalia; Artiodactyla; Bovidae.